GCCAUGGAGAGUUUGAUCCUGGCUCAGAACGAACGUUGGCGGCGUGGAUUAGGCAUGCAAGUCGUGCGUGAAGCGGACCUUCGGGUCUGUGGAAAGCGGCGAACGGGUGAGUAACGCGUGGGAAACCUGUCCUUGAGUUGGGGAUAACCCUCCUAACGGAGGGCUAAUACCGAAUGAUAUGAUUUGAUCGCAUGGUCGAGUCAUCAAAGAUGGCCUCUACUUGUAAGCUGUCACUUGAGGGUGGUCCCGCGUCCCAUUAGCUUGUUGGCAGGGUAACGGCCUACCAAGGCGACGAUGGGUAGCUGGUCUGAGAGGAUGGUCAGCCACACUGGGACUGAGAUACGGCCCAGACUCCUACGGGAGGCAGCAGUCGAGAGGCUUCGGCAAUGGGGGCAACCCUGACCGAGCGACGCCGCGUGGGGGAUGAAGAUCUUUAGAUUGUAAACCCCUUUCAGUAGGGAAGAAAUGCACCGGGGUUAACACCCCCAGUGUUUGACGGUACCUGCAGAAGAAGCUCCGGCCAACUCCGUGCCAGCAGCCGCGGUAACACGGGGGGAGCAAACGUUGUUCGGAAUCACUGGGCGUAAAGGGCGCGUAGGCGGCUCGGCAAGUGAGGUGUGAAAGCCCCUGGCUCAACCAGGGAACUGCGCUUCAAACUGCCGGACUUGAGGGCAGGAGAGGAAACGGGAAUUCCCGGUGUAGCGGUGAAAUGCACUGAUAUCGGGAGGAACACCAGUGGCGAAGGCGCGUUUCUGGCCUGCUCCUGACGCUGAGGCGCGAAAGCUAGGGGAGCAAACAGGAUUAGAUACCCUGGUAGUCCUAGCCGUAAACGGUGAACACUAGGUGUGGGAGGCAUCGACCCCUCCUGUGCCGCAGCUAACGCAUUAAGUGUUCCGCCUGGGGAGUACGAUCGCAAGGUUGAAACUCAAAGGAAUUGACGGGGGCCCGCACAAGCGGUGGAGCAUGUGGUUUAAUUCGAUGCAACGCGAAGAACCUUACCGGGGUUUGACAUGUACAGGACAGAUUUAGAAAUAUUUCUUCCCUUCGGGGUCUGUGCACAGGUGCUGCAUGGCUGUCGUCAGCUCGUGUCGUGAGAUGUUGGGUUAAGUCCCGCAACGAGCGCAACCCUCGCUCUUAGUUGCCAUCAGGUAAAGCUGGGCACUCUAAGGGGACUGCCGCCGAUAAGGCGGAGGAAGGCGGGGAUGACGUCAAGUCCUCAUGGUCCUUAUGCCCCGGGCUACACACGUGCUACAAUGGCCGGUACAAUGGGUUGCAAUGCCGCGAGGUGGAGCCAAUCCCAAAAAGCCGGCCCCAGUUCGGAUUGCAGUCUGCAACUCGACUGCAUGAAGCCGGAAUCGCUAGUAAUCGCUGAUCAGCAGGCAGCGGUGAAUAUGUUCCCGGGCCUUGUACACACCGCCCGUCAAGCCACGAAAGUGGGUAGUACCCGAAGUCACUUACCCAACCCGUAAGGGAGGAAAGUGCCGAAGGUAAGACUCGUGAUUGGGGCUAAGUCGUAACAAGGUAGCCGUACCGGAAGGUGCGGCUGGAUCACCUCCUUU
RNAcentral lists this ribosomal RNA (1559 nucleotides) under Candidatus Eiseniibacteriota bacterium. RNAcentral's name for it is "bacterial SSU rRNA". It matches the Rfam family "Bacterial small subunit ribosomal RNA". The record is from RNAcentral. Lineage: Bacteria; Candidatus Eiseniibacteriota.